Pongo abelii (Sumatran orangutan) is the source of this 76-nucleotide non-coding RNA. Lineage: Eukaryota; Metazoa; Chordata; Mammalia; Primates; Hominidae. The record is from Rfam.
UUUCCUUUUUAGUGGCACAAAAUUAUUGUUGUAUUAUAAUAUUACAACAAUAAUUUUGUGCCACUAAAAAGGAGGU